Molecule: ribosomal RNA, 401 nt
Filed under: uncultured bacterium
Lineage: Bacteria
Description: bacterial SSU rRNA
Rfam family: Bacterial small subunit ribosomal RNA
Source: RNAcentral
GGAAUAUUGCACCAUGGGCGAAAGCCUGAUGCAGCAACGCCGCGUGAGUGAUGAAGGCCCUCGGGUCGUAAAACUCUUUUCAAGAGGAAGAGGAAGGACGGUACUCUUGGAAUAAGCCUCGGCUAACUACGUGCCAGCAGCCGCGGUAACACGUAGGAGGCGAGCGUUAUUCGGAUUUACUGGGCGUAAAGCGCGUGUAGGCGGCUCAUUAAGUUGGAUGUGAAAGCUCCUGGCUUAACUGGGAGAGGACGUUCAAAACUAGUAAGCUUGAGUACGAGAGAGGAAAAUGGAAUUCCGGGUGUAGUGGUGAAAUGCGUAGAUAUCCGGAGGAACACCAGUGGCGAAGGCGAUUUUCUGGCUCGAGACUGACGCUCAGACGCGAAAGCUAGGGUAGCAAACGG